This is a long non-coding RNA of Anas platyrhynchos (mallard), 1063 nucleotides long. RefSeq lists it as uncharacterized. Lineage: Eukaryota; Metazoa; Chordata; Aves; Anseriformes; Anatidae. The record is from RefSeq and is a predicted model, not a curated record.
GGAAAUAAAAUACAUAUUUUGUACGACAUAUAAAAAAGAUGAUGUGAUAUUUUCAUACACAAUUUAAGACAGCAGAAGGACCUUUAUGCCCUACUAAGCAUUCUCUAAAGAAAAAGACUCAUGUUUACACAGUCAAACCUAAUAAACAAAUAGCAUGACCAUUUAAAAGUAUUAAAAAGAAUUCCUCCUUUCUCAAAACAAUGGACUGUGCAUGAGCAAGUACUCCUCAUUUCUCAUGAUUUAAAGCAGGUGUUCCCAUUAACUAAACUCAUCUACCCCUUUACACUGUGCAAAAGUAAUAAAAUAAUUUAGAAUUAGAAAUGUUAUUUUUUUUUUAAAUCUUGCUUUUUAAGAGUCUGGGAGUACAGUUUUCUGGAACCUGCAACAGGCCUAACUGCAAAUCUAAGGAUGAGAGUCUUCCUCUCCGCUGAAGCUUCCAAUGCAUAAAAAUAAAUCAAUAUUCAGUGCAGCAGAAACUCUUCUACAUUCCAGCAGAGAAUUCUAACUACUAACAAUUGAUUAAUUCUCUCAUUCUCUCUCUCCUAAAGAGACUGCAGAGUAUGCAUGUGCUGCUGUUGCUGCUGCAGCAGAAGUCCCCCAAAAUGGUGCAUCAUGGCAGGAAGUAUGUAGAAGGAGGGAAGGCCAAUGCAGUGCAACACUCAAGAUGAGGAACAAGAGGAAGCAGCAACUCAAACCCAACGGACUCUCUGCAAGUAGACUCCAAUAAACCCUGGGAACUGGCAGGUACAACUGAUCCUGUCUUGGAGCUCCAGAAUGCACAAGAUAACGUCUUGAGGUCUUUUUCAGCUUCCUUUUCUGUGUGGUUGAUGCAGCUAUAUAAUUUAGAAACCUUACCUUACCUCUCUAGACUAGAUAAAUUUAUCAAGUUUUCAUGCUAAAUUAUAGCAAGACAGAUUGGUGUUUUGACAUAGGGACUCAGAGAACCAGCAACACUUCUUCCAAAAUUAGCAUGAUGCCACCUCUAUUUUUUUUUUUGUACAGUACAUCCUUUUAGCUCUCAAGAAAUGCGGAGGGUUGUGGCAAAAAGACUGCUGUCUUCCAG